AGUGAACGCUGGCGGUAGGCCUAACACAUGCAAGUCGAACGGCAGCACAGUAAGAUCUUGCUCUUACGGGUGGCGAGUGGCGGACGGGUGAGGAAUACAUCGGAAUCUACUUUUUCGUGGGGGAUAACGUAGGGAAACUUACGCUAAUACCUCAUACGACCUACGGGUGAAAGCAGGGGAUCUUCGGACCUUGCGCGAUUGAAUGAGCCGAUGUCGGAUUAGCUAGUUGGCGGGGUAAAGGCCCACCAAGGCGACGAUCCGUAGCUGGUCUGAGAGGAUGAUCAGCCACACUGGAACUGAGACACGGUCCAGACUCCUACGGGAGGCAGCAGUGGGGAAUAUUGGACAAUGGGCGCAAGCCUGAUCCAGCCAUACCGCGUGGGUGAAGAAGGCCUUCGGGUUGUAAAGCCCUUUUGUUGGGAAAGAAAAGAAGCAGGUUAAUACCCCGCUGUUCUGACGGUACCCAAAGAAUAAGCAACGGCUAACUUCGUG
RNAcentral lists this ribosomal RNA (492 nucleotides) under uncultured bacterium. Its description in RNAcentral is "partial 16S ribosomal RNA". It matches the Rfam family "Bacterial small subunit ribosomal RNA", at positions 29 to 507 of the family's 1533-position model. The record is from RNAcentral.